This 890-nucleotide ribosomal RNA is filed under the name Zalerion pseudomaritima. RNAcentral's name for it is "partial large subunit ribosomal RNA". It matches the Rfam family "Eukaryotic large subunit ribosomal RNA", at positions 76 to 997 of the family's 3401-position model. Lineage: Eukaryota; Fungi; Ascomycota; Sordariomycetes; Lulworthiales; Lulworthiaceae. The record is from RNAcentral.
UGCCUUAGUAACGGCGAGUGAAGCGGCAACAGCUCAAAUUUGAAAUCUGGCUUCGGCCCGAGUUGUAAUUUGUAGAGGAUGCUUCUGGCGACGUGCCUUCCGAGUCCCCUGGAACGGGGCGCCGAAGAGGGUGAGAGCCCCGUACGGUUGGACGCCGAGCCUCUGUGAAGCUCCUUCGACGAGUCGAGUAGUUUGGGAAUGCUGCUCUAAAUGGGAGGUAAAUUCCUUCUAAAGCUAAAUACCGGCCAGAGACCGAUAGCGCACAAGUAGAGUGAUCGAAAGAUGAAAAGCACUUUGGAAAGAGGGUUAAAAAGUACGUGAAAUUGCUGAAAGGGAAGCGCUUGCGACCAGACUCGCGCCUGGCGGAUCAUCCAGCGUUCUCGCUGGUGCACUUCGCCUGGCACGGGCCAGCAUCGGUUCGGCGGGGGGGAUAAAAGCCCGGGAAACGUAGCUCCCUCCGGGGAGUGUUAUAGUCCCUCGCCCAAUGCUCCCUGCCGGACCGUGGACCGCGCCUUCGUGCAAGGAUGCUGGCGUAAUGGUCGUUAGCGACCCGUCUUGAAACACGGACCAAGGAGUCGAACAUUUGUGCGAGUGUUUGGGUGCAAAACCCUCACGCGUAAUGAAAGUGAACGGAGGUGGGAGCCUCGGCGCACCAUCGACCGAUCCUGAUGUUCUCGGAUGGAUUUGAGUAAGAGCAUAACUGUUCGGACCCGAAAGAUGGUGAACUAUGCCUGUGUAGGGUGAAGCCAGAGGAAACUCUGGUGGAGGCUCGCAGCGGUUCUGACGUGCAAAUCGAUCGUCAAACAUGGGCAUGGGGGCGAAAGACUAAUCGAACCAUCUAGUAGCUGGUUUCCGCCGAAGUUUCCCUCAGGAUAGUAGUGCUGAUCUCA